GACAACAGGGAUUGCCCUAGUAACGGCGAGUGAAGCGGCAACAGCUCAAAUUUGAAAUCUGGCGCAAGCCCGAGUUGUAAUUUGUAGAGGAUGCUUCUGGGUAGCGACCGAUCUAAGUUCCUUGGAACAGGACGUCAUAGAGGGUGAGAAUCCCGUAUGUGACCGGCCCGCACCCUUUACGUAGCUCCUUCGACGAGUCGAGUUGUUUGGGAAUGCAGCUCUAAAUGGGAGGUAAAUUUCUUCUAAAGCUAAAUACCGGCCAGAGACCGAUAGCGCACAAGUAGAGUGAUCGAAAGAUGAAAAGUACUUUGGAAAGAGAGUUAAAAAGCACGUGAAAUUGUUGAAAGGGAAGCGCCUGCAACCAGACUUCGCGGCAGUGUUCCGCCGGUCUUCUGACCGGUUCAUUCUCUGUCGCGAGGCCAUCAUCGUCUGGGCCCGCCGGAUAAGACCUGAGGAAUGUGGCUCCCCCUCGGGGGAGUGUUAUAGCCUCUGGUGAUGCGGCGUGGCUCGGGCGAGGUCCGCGCUUCGGCAAGGAUGAUGGCGUAAUGGUUGUCGGCGGCCCGUCUUGAAACACGGACCAAGGAGUCUAACAUCUAUGCGAGUGUUCGGGUGUCAAACCCCUACGCGUAAUGAAAGUGAACGGAGGUGGGAACCGCAAGGUGCACCAUCGACCGAUCCUGAUGUCCUCGGAUGGAUUUGAGUAAGAGCAUAGCUGUUGGGACCCGAAAGAUGGUGAACUAUGCCUGAAUAGGGUGAAGCCAGAGGAAACUCUGGUGGAGGCUCGCAGCGGUUCUGACGUGCAAAUCGAUCGUCAAAUUUGGGUAUAGGGGCGAAAGACUAAUCGAACCAUCUAGUAGCUGGUUCCUGCGAUCU
This 873-nucleotide ribosomal RNA is filed under the name Cercospora sidicola. RNAcentral describes it as "eukaryotic LSU rRNA". It matches the Rfam family "Eukaryotic large subunit ribosomal RNA", at positions 56 to 969 of the family's 3401-position model. Lineage: Eukaryota; Fungi; Ascomycota; Dothideomycetes; Mycosphaerellales; Mycosphaerellaceae. The record is from RNAcentral.